UUAAUACAUGCAUGUUGAACGGAAUAUUUUAGUUCGCUAAAAUAUUUAGUAGCAAAUGGGUGAGUAACACGUACCUAACCUACCUUUUGGACUGGGAUAACCAUUGGAAACAGUGGCUAAUACCGGAUAUGAUAAAAAUUUGCAUGAAUUUUUAUUCAAAGGAGCUUUCAAGCUUCACCAAGAAAUGGGGGUGCGCAACAUUAGUUAGUUGGUAGGGUAAAAGCCUACCAAGACGAUGAUGUUUAGCGGGGCCAAGAGGUUGUACCGCCACACUGGGAUUGAGAUACGGCCCAGACUCCUACGGGAGGCAGCAGUAAGGAAUAUUCCACAAUAAGCGAAAGCUUGAUGGAGCGACACAGCGUGCAGGAUGAAGUCUUUCGGGAUGUAAACUGCUGUUGUAAGGGAAGAAAAAACUAGAUAGGAAAUGCUCUAGUCUUGACGGUACCUUAUUAGAAAGCGACGGCAAACUAUGUGCCAGCAGCCGCGGUAAUACAUAGGUCGCAAGCGUUAUCCGGAAUUAUUGGGCGUAAAGCGUCCGUAGGUUUUUUGUUAAGUUUAAAGUUAAAUGCUAAAGCUCAACUUUAGUCCGCUUUAGAUACUGGCAAAAUAGAAUUAUGAAGAGGUUAGCGGAAUUCCUAGUGGAGUGGUGGAAUACGUAGAUAUUAGGAAGAACACCAAUAGGCGAAGGCAGCUAACUGGUCAUAUAUUGACACUAAGGACGAAAGCGUGG
RNAcentral lists this ribosomal RNA (730 nucleotides) under Mesomycoplasma hyopneumoniae. RNAcentral's name for it is "bacterial SSU rRNA". It matches the Rfam family "Bacterial small subunit ribosomal RNA", at positions 48 to 764 of the family's 1533-position model. Lineage: Bacteria; Bacillati; Mycoplasmatota; Mycoplasmoidales; Metamycoplasmataceae. The record is from RNAcentral.